This 115-nucleotide ribosomal RNA is filed under the name uncultured Prevotellaceae bacterium. RNAcentral's name for it is "partial 16S ribosomal RNA". It matches the Rfam family "Bacterial small subunit ribosomal RNA", at positions 395 to 507 of the family's 1533-position model. The record is from RNAcentral. Lineage: Bacteria; Pseudomonadati; Bacteroidota; Bacteroidia; Bacteroidales; Prevotellaceae.
AGUAGCGUGAGGGAUGACUGCCCUAUGGGUUGUAAACCUCUUUUAUAAGGGAAUAAAGUCCGGUACGCGUACCGGUUUGUAUGUACCUUAUGAAUAAGCAUCGGCUAACUCCGUG